RNAcentral lists this ribosomal RNA (993 nucleotides) under Notocotylus intestinalis. RNAcentral describes it as "large subunit ribosomal RNA". The stretch from base 631 to 993 matches the Rfam family "Bacterial large subunit ribosomal RNA", at positions 2046 to 2709 of the family's 2925-position model. The record is from RNAcentral. Lineage: Eukaryota; Metazoa; Platyhelminthes; Trematoda; Plagiorchiida; Notocotylidae.
UCAUUUUGAGAUGAUUUGUGAUUUAGUUAUUGACUAGGUUUGGUACCUUUUGCAUCAUGAUCUAUUGAUAUAAGACAAGGAUGUUGUUGUUCCGAAGGUUUAUGAUCUUUUUUGGGUUUGUUUAGAAUAUAAGAGUGGAUGGGAAAUCUUUCUUAAAACUGAUUAAAGAUGUGAAAAAUAAUUCGUAUAAUCUAAUAUCUGAUUAAAAAGAGAUAAUUUUGAGUGAGCUUUAUUGUUAUGAGAUGAUAAAGCAGGUAAGAAUCCCAUUUUUUAUUUUUGUAGUUUGAGGUUAAAGAUACCUUAAAUUAAGUAGUGUGUUAAUAUAAAUAGAUGAUUGUGGGUGGAUUUUGUUUUAACUCUUUUUGUUGUUAAUUUUUAAUGUUAUAAGUAUGAUAGAAUAAGUAAAUUAAAUAUUCCUUUUUUUUCUCGCUAAUUUUCGGUCUGUUUAUUAAAAACAUUGCUAUUUGAUAAAUUUAAAUAGUAAGGCCUGCUCUAUGUUUGAUUAUUAAUGGCCGCAGUAUACUGACUGUGCUAAGGUAGCAUAAUUAAUUGCCUUUUAAUUGGGGGAUUGUUUGAAUGGUUUAACCAGAGAAUUAUUUUAAAGUAAAUGAGGAAUAAACUUGAAAUUGGAGUUCUGGUGCAGAUUCCAGAAGUUUUUUGUUAGACGGAAAGACCCCGAGAGCUUUAUGAUUAUGGUCAUUUGUCUGGGGCAGAAGUAUAUUUUUUAUAUAUUUUGUGAUCCUUUAUUAUAGGGAAAUAGGAUUAAGUUACCUCGGGGAUAACUAGGUAAGAAAUAAAGAGAGACCAAAUCGAUUUAUUUAGUUGCCAUCUCGAUGUUGAUUUAGAGUAACUAUGCUGGCGCAGGAGUUAGUAUAGAAGGUCUGUUCGACCUUAGUUCUCUUCAUGAGUUGAGUUAAGACCGGUGUAAGCCAGGUCGGUUCUUAUCUACAUUGGUUAUAAAUUAGUACGAAAGGAUUAUUUAUAAUUUAGGUU